This 796-nucleotide ribosomal RNA is filed under the name Hua aristarchorum. Its description in RNAcentral is "partial 16S large subunit ribosomal RNA". It matches the Rfam family "Bacterial large subunit ribosomal RNA", at positions 1426 to 2542 of the family's 2925-position model. Lineage: Eukaryota; Metazoa; Mollusca; Gastropoda; Semisulcospiridae. The record is from RNAcentral.
UAAUACUAAUUAUUAUAUAUCUACUUUUUUCACUAAUUCUUUUGAGGAUAAGCUCAAAGAGAAAGUUAAGAUAUUUAUGAUUAUAAGCCGCCGUGUGGGCUUAAAAUUGGCCACCACAAAAGUUUGUUAUAAAAUAACGGUUUCAACUCAAAAAAUAAAUAUAUUUUAAUCUAACUUCUUACGGAAAUAAAAUCUUUAACUAAAGUAAGUUUUAUACCUAUGCUAGAAUGAGUAUUAUAAACUAACAUUAAACAUGAAAAUAUUUCUUCAGUAAAAAUUAUUCAAACAAACUAAUUAAUUAAAAGGAACUCGGCAAAAUUAGUUGCUUCGCCUGUUUAUCAAAAACAUGGCUCUCUGCUUAUGUAAAUAUAGAGAGUCGAGCCUGCCCAGUGAAUUUUCAACGGCCGCGGUACUCUGACCGUGCAAAGGUAGCAUAAUCAUUUGCCUUAUAAUUGAAGGCUAGUAUGAAUGGUUUGACGAGAGCAACGCUGUCUCUUUUUUAUUUUCAAGAACUUAACUUUUAGGUGAAGAGGCCUAAAUUUUAUUGAAGGACAAGAAGACCCUGUCGAGCUUAAAAGAUAUUAUAGAAGUGCAUAUAUUUUUAAAUAAAUUUUCUAUUCAGCUUUUUAGUUGGGGCGACUAAGGAACAAAAAGAGCUUCUUAUUAAUAAUAAACACUCAUGUUUAGAUCCGGCAAUAACCGAUCAAAGGAAUUAGUUACCGCAGGGAUAACAGCAUAAUCUCUCUUGAGAGACCUAAUCGAAAGAGGGGGUUGUGACCUCGAUGUUGGACUAGAA